RNAcentral lists this ribosomal RNA (433 nucleotides) under uncultured bacterium. Its description in RNAcentral is "partial 16S ribosomal RNA". It matches the Rfam family "Bacterial small subunit ribosomal RNA", at positions 29 to 507 of the family's 1533-position model. The record is from RNAcentral.
AACGAACGCUGGCGGCAUGCCUAACACAUGCGAGUCGAACGAGACCUUCGGGUCUAGUGGCGCACGGGUGCGUAACGCGUGGGAACCUGCCCUUAGGUUCGGAAUAACUCCCCGAAAGGGGUGCUAAUACCGGAUAAUGUCUUCGGACCAAAGAUUUAUCGCCUUUGGAUGGGCCCGCGUUUGAUUAGCUAGUUGGUAGGGUAAAAGCCUACCAAGGCGACGAUCCAUAGCUGGUCUGAGAGGAUGAUCAGCCACACUGGGACUGAGACACGGCCCAGACUCCUACGGGAGGCAGCAGUGGGGAAUAUUGGACAAUGGGCGAAAGCCUGAUCCAGCAAUGCCGCGUGAGUGAUGAAGUCCUUAGGGUUGUAAAGCUCUUUUACCCGGGAUGAUAAUGACAGUACCGGGAGAAUAAGCUCCGGCUAACUCCGUG